GGGCACUGUAGUCAGCGUAUGUAUGACAGCCCCUAAGAAAUAUGGCGGCCGCUCCGGGAGGACGGCUGCUGCGCAUGCCCGGCUGCAGCAGCUCCUCCUCCCAUGGUCCUUUGCGGAGUCAGUGAGACUCCGGGCACUGCGCCACCACUGAGCCUGGACCCUGCUAGUAUUCUGUCAGAAGAGGAGGACGUACCAUACCACCGAUCCCCACAUAUAAGUGAUCACCAGCAAUACAUGUGGGCCCGGGGGCGGGGCGGAACGGAGAGCCGCGAGUGCUGUCAGAGCAGUGUACACUGCUUCCUCUCCCCUCUCUUUCUCCUCAACGCUGCAGGUCAUCAGAAAUUAUGGUGGAGCCGAUGGAAGCACCUUUAUUCAGGAUCUGCAGCUCUGAUCUGCUGCGUCCUGUGUGCUGCCUGAGCUCCUCCUCCGCUGGGUGCAGCUCAUUCACAAUCUGAGGUAUUUAUAGCAAUAUUUUUUUUUUUCAUUGAACCGAAAGACCUAGUCUGUGCACUCUGUUCAUGAAGCUGCCACCUGGGUACAUACAUGGGCAUCCAUCCGAGACUGGCAUGACGAAGCAGACUACCGAACUCCGAACGAACACAUCAUUAAGGGCUUUGGAAGAAACGAAAAAAACAAGCGGUGGUAAAUAUAGGUUCAGCAAGUUAUUAGAAGAGGCCACAGUCCAGCAUCCCUAAGGAGACGUACUGAAGCUCCAGUUUGGAGUGAGCAACAAGGGUGGAGCAUUUCAAGACAGCUGCCAGUUUCCACAGUGUUAUAUUCUUCUGAAUUCCAGUGUUAUUAUUUCUAGAGAUAGACCACUAUUGUCUUUCACACCGCUGUUACUGUUUAUCUUUUUCAAUAUGACUGUUGUGUCAUUAAGUAUCUUUAUAUGUAGUAUUAAACAUCCAGAAGUAA
This is a long non-coding RNA of Pseudophryne corroboree (corroboree frog), 915 nucleotides long. RefSeq lists it as uncharacterized. The record is from RefSeq and is a predicted model, not a curated record. Lineage: Eukaryota; Metazoa; Chordata; Amphibia; Anura; Myobatrachidae. The transcript has 4 exons.